Molecule: long non-coding RNA, 627 nt
Organism: Zalophus californianus (California sea lion)
Lineage: Eukaryota; Metazoa; Chordata; Mammalia; Carnivora; Otariidae
Exons: 4
Source: RefSeq, a predicted model, not a curated record
GGCGGUGGGAGUGGCCAACUAGUGACCUGAGGCAGGGCAGGGAGGGAAUCCAAGCAAGACGGUGGACCCCAGGAGGCGUUUGACUGACCUCAUCCUAAAGAAGCGACGUGGUUAUUUAUGAGCCCUGAUUUAAGAGUAGUGGCUGCUAAGGAAGUGAAAAAGGAGCUCACCCCAAGCUAUGAGAGAAGCUAUAGUCUCAAGAAUGCUGUUUAUGACGAUAUAAAACAACGUGGAGCUUGUGAUGGGAAAUAUGGAGAGCGGAAGACGCCCAAGCCUUGGGAUGAAAUACAGAUUGAGAAGAUGUUUGAUCACUGCAGCCCAUUAGGGCUGGGCUGCAGCCCAUUAACCCAAAUGAGAAAAGCUCUGGCUUCUCUAGGCAGCCUCUGAGCCUAAGCCGCAGGAGCCUCUGCUCAGCCGCCCGGCACAAGCAGCAGCCCCCACCGGCACCACCGCGGGCCUCCCUCCCCGCCCGCCCUCGCCCUCCCAAGGGUGCCAACGGCCUGGGAGCUGAGCGCCGUUUUACUACCUGGGCCUUCCCCAGACGUGUGCCUGUUAGUGGUGGUGUUGUUCAAGAACAUCUUGUCCAUGCCUUUGAGCGCCUCGGUGAGAUAGUUCUGCAGGGCCGUG